RNAcentral lists this ribosomal RNA (101 nucleotides) under Listeria monocytogenes. RNAcentral's name for it is "partial 23S ribosomal RNA". It matches the Rfam family "Bacterial large subunit ribosomal RNA", at positions 1 to 100 of the family's 2925-position model. Lineage: Bacteria; Bacillati; Bacillota; Bacilli; Caryophanales; Listeriaceae. The record is from RNAcentral.
AGGUUAAGUUAGAAAGGGCGCACGGUGGAUGCCUAGGCACUAGGAGCCGAAGAAGGACGGGUCUAACACCGAUAUGCAAUGGGGUGCAGUACGUAAGCGUU